UAAGGAAGGUGCAUAUCCCCCUACCGUUUGGAAUAAUUUGCUGUCAUUUGGGGAUGACUUGACAGACCCAUUGAUACAGCAACAGAAAAAAUAAAAUGCAAAGCAAUAGUUAAGUAUCUGAAAUUAUUACUGUCCCCAUAAGUGAGAACAAUAAAACUUAGGUGGGUAAGGCAUUUUGACUAAACGUGGUGAUUUCCUCCAUCUUCUUCAAUCUUUAACUUUUCCAGAUCACAGAUGCCACUUGCCCUGGAGGCUUUGGCCAGAGGACAGGAGAUUACCAAAGAUAGUGGGCCUGUGUGAUUUCAUAAUUCAAGAAGGUCGAUGUAGAUACUCAGAUAUUUAGUUUACUUCUUCUCUGGAAAAUCCCAGGAUUUGUAGAUCCUCCCAGAGAAAACAUCAAUCCUAAUGAACUUUUCAAACUUCUCUGUGAACAAUGUAAAAGCUAGAUUCCAGCUUUAAGCACCACUAUACCAGACUGCCACCCCUGAAGCAACCUCUUUUUCCUUGGUUGGUGGUUGUAGCCUCCCUGAAGUUAGAAGAUGUGUGGGACCUUGCCUCCAAGAUUCUGAGUACAAAACUGCCUCCUAGGUAAACCUACC
Molecule: long non-coding RNA, 599 nt
Organism: Orcinus orca (killer whale)
Lineage: Eukaryota; Metazoa; Chordata; Mammalia; Artiodactyla; Delphinidae
Exons: 4
Source: RefSeq, a predicted model, not a curated record